Molecule: transfer RNA, 86 nt
Filed under: Horticoccus luteus
Lineage: Bacteria; Pseudomonadati; Verrucomicrobiota; Opitutia; Opitutales; Opitutaceae
Description: Oleiharenicola sp. KSB-15 tRNA-Leu
Rfam family: tRNA
About the family: Transfer RNA (tRNA) molecules are approximately 80 nucleotides in length. Their secondary structure includes four short double-helical elements and three loops (D, anti-codon, and T loops).
Source: RNAcentral
GCCCGGGUGAUGGAAUGGUAGACAUUGGGGACUUAAAAUCCCCUGCUCGUAAGAGCGUGCGGGUUCGAGUCCCGCCCCGGGCACCA